Molecule: ribosomal RNA, 423 nt
Filed under: uncultured bacterium
Lineage: Bacteria
Description: partial 16S ribosomal RNA
Rfam family: Bacterial small subunit ribosomal RNA
Source: RNAcentral
AAUUUUGGACAAUGGGGGAAACCCUGAUCCAGCCAUCCCGCGUGUAUGAUGAAGGCCUNCGGGUUNUNAAGUACUUUUGGCUGAGNAAAAAAGGUAUCUCCUAAUACGAGAUACUGCUGACGGUAUCUGAAGAAUAAGAACCGGCUAACUACGUGCCAGCAGCUGCGGUAAUACGAAGGGUGCAAGCGUUAAUCGUAAUUACUGGGCGUAAAGCGUGUGUAGGCGGUUCGGAAAGAAAGAUGUGAAAUCCCAGGGCUCAACCUUGGAACUGUAUUUUUAACUGCCGUGCUAGAGUAUGUCAGAGGGGGGUAGAAUACCACGUGUAGCAGUGAAAUGCGUAGAUAUGUGGAGGAAUACCGAUGGCGAAGGCAGCCCCCUGGGAUAAUACUGACGCUCAGACACGAAAGCGUGGGGAGCAAACAG